This 1668-nucleotide small RNA is filed under the name Pongo abelii (Sumatran orangutan). RNAcentral describes it as "retained intron". The record is from RNAcentral. Lineage: Eukaryota; Metazoa; Chordata; Mammalia; Primates; Hominidae.
UGAGCGGGGCAGCGGGGCCGGAAUGGAGAAGGUGGGACUACCGGGGACCUAGAGAGCGAGCGGCGCCGCCCGUGGGGACUGCGGCUGGAGGUGGGAAGUCGUAGCGAGCUGGACCAGGUGCUCAGGCUGAGGCGGCCGCCCUCCCUUCGCAGGGUGUGCGUGCGCCUAGUGCCAGCUGUGCGGGAUCCGCACAUGCUGACCUUCCUGCAGCAACUGCGGGUGGACUGGCCCGCUGCCUCGGAGAGAGCUUCCUCCCACACCCUGAGGAGCCACGCCCUUGAAGAACUUACCUCUGCUAAUGACGGGAGGACACUGUCCCCUGGCAUCCUAGGCAGACUGUGUCUGAAGGAGCUGGUGGAAGAACAGGGCCGCACAGCUGGCUAUGACCCCAACCUGGACAACUGUCUGGUGACGGAGGAUCUCCUCUCUGUGCUGGCUGAGCUGCAAGAGGCUCUAUGGCAUUGGCCCGAGAACAGCGACCCAGGCCUGGUUAGUGACUCCCAGCCCUGUAGGUUCUCCCAAACCAAGUAUACUGUACUUCCACAGUUAUGAUUGUCCUCCGUUAGGCUGGGGCCCCAGAUACUGGUACAGACGGCUGCCUGGUUGUACAUGUUGUUAGCUGUGAGGAGGAGUUCCAGCAACAGAAGUUGGACCUGCUUUGGCGGAAGUUGGUUGACAAGGCUCCACUCAGACAGAAGCACCUGAUCUGUGGCCCUGUGAAAGUAGCUGGUGCACCUGGCACUCUGAUGACUGCCCCUGAGUACUACAAACCCAGCCUGGACAGAGAUCUUUGGUGUUCUCUCUGUGGCCACCAUCAAGUUUGAGAUGCUGAGCACAGCCCCACGGAGUCAGCUCUUCCUGGCUCUGGCUGACAGCAGUAUCUCCACGAAGGGCACAAAGAGUGGCACCUUUGUCAUGUAUAAUUGUGCCCGUCUUGCCACACUCUUUGAGAGUUACAAGUGUAGUAUGGAACAAGGUCUGUACCCCACUUUUCCUCCUGUGAGCAGUCUGGACUUCUCACUGCUACAUGAUGAGGUGAGUGUCCCUCCCGGUAGUUGGCACAAGGAGGCCUGGACUUCCCCUCCCAGUACCUUUCUCCCCCACAGGGUGAAUGGUUGUUGCUCUUCAACAGUAUCCUCCCCUUUCCGGAUCUGCUAAGCCAGACAGCAGUGCUGGACUGCACAGCCCCGGGGCUCCACAUUGCUGCACGCACAGAGAUGGUGAGGCAUAGACAACCAGGACACUCUACACUCUAUUCUUUAUUCUGGCCUGGGGCACAAGAGCAAAGAGAUGGGCCAGUGACUCAGUCUCUGUCUCUAGAUAUGCAAGUUCCUGGUACAGCUCAGCAUGGAUUUCAGCUCCUACUACAACCGGGUACACAUCCUGGGGGUGAGCACACAGCAAAACGGGGUGGGACGUGCAGAGGGAUACAGGGUAAAGGCAAAGGAAGCAGAGGAUGAGACCAGCAGGCCCUUUCUCUUUCAGGAGGCUCGACCACACCUCUUUGGUCAGAUGUUCGUCCGCCUGCAGCUUCUGAGGGCUGUGCGUGAGGUGCUCCAUACUGGCCUGGCUAUGCUGGGUCUCCCUCCACUGAGCCACAUCUAAGGCCACAGAGGCUCCAAUACUUGGGAAUGUUCACAAAGUCAUCAACUGGAAAAAAAGCAAAAA